This 741-nucleotide ribosomal RNA is filed under the name uncultured organism. Its description in RNAcentral is "bacterial SSU rRNA". It matches the Rfam family "Bacterial small subunit ribosomal RNA", at positions 47 to 834 of the family's 1533-position model. The record is from RNAcentral.
CCUAAAACAUGCAAGUCGAACGAUCUCUUCGGAGAUAGUGGCGCACGGGUGAGUAACGCGUGGGAACGUGCCCUUGGGUGCGGAAUAACUACUGGAAACGGUAGCUAAUACCGCAUAAUGACUCCGGUCCAAAGAUUUAUCGCCCAAGGAUCGGCCCGCGUUAGAUUAGGUAGUUGGUAGGGUAAGAGCCUACCAAGCCUACGAUCUAUAGCUGGUUUGAGAGGAUGAUCAGCCACACUGGGACUGAGACACGGCCCAGACUCCUACGGGAGGCAGCAGUUGGGAAUAUUGGACAAUGGGGGAAACCCUGAUCCAGCCAUGCCGCGUGAGUGAAGAAGGCCCUCGGGUUGUAAAGCUCUUUCAGAUGCGAAGAUGAUGACGGUAACAUCAGAAGAAGCCCCGGCUAAAUUCGUGCCAGCAGCCGCGGUAAUACGAAUGGGGCAAGCGUUGUUCGGAAUCACUGGGCGUAAAGCGUGCGUAGGCGGCUAUGCAAGUCAGGAGUGAAAUCCCAGGGCUUAACCUUGGAACUGCUUCUGAAACUGUAUAGCUAGAGUCCCGGAGAGGUUGGCGGAAUUCCGAGUGUAGAGGUGAAAUUCGCAGAUAUUCGGAGGAACACCAGUGGCGAAGGCGGCCAACUGGACGGGAACUGACGCUCAGGCACGAAAGCGUGGGGAGCCAACAGGAUUAGAUACCCUGGUAGUCCACGCCCUAAACGAUGUGUGCUAGUCGCGGGGUUUCCUA